Molecule: RNA transcript, 2042 nt
Organism: Cyanidioschyzon merolae strain 10D
Lineage: Eukaryota; Rhodophyta; Bangiophyceae; Cyanidiales; Cyanidiaceae
Exons: 1
Source: RefSeq, a predicted model, not a curated record
AUUUCCCUCCAUCAUUCCACUUGUUCAUAUGCGUCUUGGCCUCGCUCAUGGCGGACGAUCGAUCGUGCCGGGCCCUGGAAAGUUUGAAUAGCGUGAACUGCUUUCGUAGCGGGUGUUUGGCACCGUUCUCUUGAUUUUAGGGGUGCGGCGGCGACGGUGGCUACGAUGUUCUAAUAAGCGGGGUCCACGCUCUUUACGGACUGAAGCUCUCUUCGUCUACCCUGAAUGAUUGAAGACGAGUCUCGUUUGCCGGUUUGAUACUUUUUGGCCCCGGUGCGGUAGGAUUUUCGUGAAUCGCCGGGAUAGCGCCGCGACGCGGCAAACGACUCCGAGAAGCACAAGUGCAAACCUCUGACCCGACGAUCAGACCGAAUUGCGUCUUCUGCACCGUGUAUCAAUUGUACUGUUGCACGCAAGCUUGAUGAAAGAGUUCCGCAAGAAUUUGGACGGUAGACAGUCCUGCGUCCCGAACUCCGAGGAAGAGCUGCUUGACGAGGCUCAUCAUGGCAUGAGGAGCUAAGCAACUAAGCCUCGAGUCAGAAGCUACGGGAUCCGUCAUUCGCGUCCUGCAUCCUGCAUUUUGAAACAUUCUCCAUGUUUAUUUUUCUGGAUAUGAGAUCUUGACACUGCGUCCGGAAUGACUCUACCGUUGGUUCCAGUGCCUGCUCGCCCCCGUCUUUGUCGAUCUGUCUCGUUCUUGUCAGAUAGAGUCUGCUCCAUUUCUUUUUCUUGGCAAAGUGGCAUGGAUGGGUUCGCUAGACUCCACGUCCGUUUCUCCCUCGGGAUACAGGCGCACUGGAUGGAUCCUGACACUGAAAUCCAUCCCCUCUUUGUGUGUACCACUCCUCACGCGCCGUUUCGUUGUCUUCUCCGAUGCGAGCACAGCUGCGGACCGUGCGCACCGCUCCGCUGCCUCCCGCGAACGCGAAGAGAAGCGACACAGCACACCGGGGGCCGGCGAAGCCAGAGAGCAACGAAUGGAUGAACGGUUUCACCGAUGCGAACGAGUGUCCCAUUGAUUUGAGAGGGUGAAAAUAACGUUUGUCAACAUCGAAGACGUCUUCGACUGGGUUGAUCCAUGGGCAAUAGCACGAUAAGGAGAGCAGCGCAACAUGAAUGUCGAUUGUGCACUACGCAACCGUUCCGCAUUGAUCGAAAGCGACGUUAUCUAAGAACGGAACAGAAGAAGGCGGGAAGCUCAAGCUACGCUUCGUGUUUCUUGGAUCGCUGAGCUACGAAAAGAUCUGGUAUGUAUGUCGAUUUGUAGGCGACCACACGAUUGAAUCGCUUCUAGUCCUGGUGGCCUCGUAACGGCCAAUCGUACCUUGUUUGCGAUCAGCGGCCCGCCAGUGUUUGAGUAGUCGUAUUGAGGUCUACCGUUUUCGGUGCAUACAGGCUCGGUGAAUGCGACAAACAUCCGUCUGUCCUGAGGUAAGCGUUCGUGCUUCAGUGCGACACCGAUUCUGAGCAGUUCUACAAGCGACACUUGUCAUCGAAGCGCCUUGCUUUUUCUUUCCAUCUGUGUCUCUUCAUCACCGUUCGGAUCUAUAUUAUGCGAGCUUUAUAUUCUGUGGCUUUUCGACAGUAUACCUAAAAGGACGCACCGCGUGCAAUGGACUGACGAGCAGACAGUCACAUGGGCAGUGUUUGGCGAUUCUAUCUUUGGGAGCACGACCUUCGGGCUAUGCACGAACAGAAGCGUCAUUCGUGCACCAGAUGAGCAUAGAGUGACUGACGCGUAAAAGCGAUGCUCUUUUUCGUAGGCUGGUAAUGACAGCAUCCCAAAUCUCAGCAACAUUGCUUCGAUCCACUGAAUUCAUUCCUUUUAUUGAAUACUUGCGAGAAAAACAUACAAGAAGAAAUAGGGCUUGCUUUAGAGGGGUAUUCCAGAGCGCAUGGCCCCAGCUAUAACGCCAGCGUUUCUCGAUGUCGCCCUUGUGUCGAUAUCGCUGACCCGUUGCGUGCUGCCGGAGACAGACUGCUUGGAAAAAACGACCUCCAUCGGUGCACAUCUGCUUCAUCCACGCAAAAAUAAAAUCGAA